UACGUAGGUGUCAAGCGUUGUCCGGAUUUAUUGGGCGUAAAGCGCCCGCAGGCGGCUUGCCAAGUUCGAUGUGAAAUCUCCCGGCUCAACUGGGAGGGUGCAUCGAAAACUGACAGGCUUGAGGCAGGGAGAGGGAUGUGGAAUUCCAGGUGUAGUGGUGAAAUGCGUAGAUAUCUGGGGGAACACCAGUGGCGAAGGCGGCAUCCUGGCCCUGUCCUGACGCUCAGGGGCGAAAGCGUGGGGAGCAAACCGG
Molecule: ribosomal RNA, 253 nt
Filed under: uncultured bacterium
Lineage: Bacteria
Description: partial 16S ribosomal RNA
Rfam family: Bacterial small subunit ribosomal RNA
Source: RNAcentral